This 253-nucleotide ribosomal RNA is filed under the name uncultured bacterium. RNAcentral describes it as "partial 16S ribosomal RNA". It matches the Rfam family "Bacterial small subunit ribosomal RNA", at positions 524 to 776 of the family's 1533-position model. The record is from RNAcentral.
UACGUAGGGUGCAAGCGUUAAUCGGAAUUACUGGGCGUAAAGCGUGCGCAGGCGGUGAUGUAAGACAGAUGUGAAAUCCCCGGGCUCAACCUGGGAACUGCAUUUGUGACUGCAUCGCUAGAGUACGGCAGAGGGGGAUGGAAUUCCCGGUGUAGCAGUGAAAUGCGUAGAUAUCGGGAGGAAUACCGAUGGCGAAGGCAGGUCUCUGGGCUGACACUGACGCUCAUGCACGAAAGCGUGGGGAGCAAACAGG